RNAcentral lists this ribosomal RNA (253 nucleotides) under uncultured bacterium. RNAcentral's name for it is "partial 16S ribosomal RNA". It matches the Rfam family "Bacterial small subunit ribosomal RNA", at positions 524 to 776 of the family's 1533-position model. The record is from RNAcentral.
UACGGAGGGUGCAAGCGUUAAUCGGAAUUACUGGGCGUAAAGCGCACGCAGGUGGCUGAGUCAGUCGAUUGUGAAAGCCCUGGGCUUAACCUGGGAAUUGCAGUCGAUACUACUCAGCUAGAGUAUGGGAGAGGGCAGUGGAAUUCCCGGUGUAGCGGUGAAAUGCGUAGAUAUCAGGAGGAACACCAAUGGCGAAGGCAGCUCGCUGGGACGGUACUGACGCUGAGACGCGAAAGCGUGGGGAGCAAACAGG